CAGAAAAUAAAUUGUUCGUUGAGUUGCCCUGUCUAUUUCGCCUUGCACGGCAGUCCGCCACAAUCCAGAUUUCACCCAACUCCCGCAGGGUUUCCUCUUCUCUUUGAGGAUUGGAAGUGAGAGGAAGUGGGUAGGAUCAAACAACACCUGAAGAUGUAAGCAUUAUGAUUCACAUCUCAUUCUGGUGCGUUCAUGGUUUAGUUGAUUUCCUAGUUCCGAUUUUGCCGUUGGGAAUCCAUGAAUCAAAGACACUUUUUUGAAGUUCUUACUUUGAGACAAGUAAUGUUGACUUUAUACUGAUUGCUACUUUAUAUGGUGAAUUUCCCAUUAUCAUUGAUCAGAACCCUGAGAUGUGUAGAUAUGAAGCUUGUGAUAUUUAUAUUUGUUCCAUACUGCAUUGGCUUUAGGAGAUAACUGCUUUAAGGGCAAUCUUGCAACAGUAUUUUGAUAUCAUGUUUUGGUGGGGAAACUGGCCUGAAAAUUUGGUGGGCUGUGACCACGCUGUUUGAAUUGCACCACUUCACCUGGAGCUGGCACUGGCGGGAUGGAUUAACCAACAUUUUUAACAAGGUAUAACCUUUUUUUUUAACCGAGUAAUCAUCUAGUCGAACAUGUCCUUCGGACAGGUGUGUAAAAUUCGGGCCACCAGAACAAUUCGUAUCACGUUGGUGACAUGUAAGACUGAAGCGAAGUGGGUGGAGGUCUGGAAUUGAGACAAGCUACAUGAGAUCAACACUAGAAUAAAAUGUAAAGAAAGUAUGAUUAUGUCUCUAGUCGGGUCAAAAAUGAAAUCACAUGCGUCCGAUUAACUGACUAUUAAAUCAUAUGCCACGUGUUCCCUCAUCCACGAGUUUCCCUUCUUUUGUUAGUAUACGACCUAUCAAACUAGAAAACGACGAUAAUUAAAGAGAAUUCAAAAAAGUUCAAAAAGAAACAAGAAAAAACAGAGGGCGAACGAAAAUAACAAAACUCGGCCAGUCGCUCCUGGCCUUCGAUUUUCAUUUUUUUUUAUUUUGAAGUUUCGCGGUUAUGCCCCCAAAUUCUCUUCAUCUCCUCCGUCUUCAUCAUCGUCAACGACAUCCUCACUGAAUCGCGGCUUCCGCUCGAUCCUUUCAUGCUUUGGUUUCUCUCUCUUUCUCGGAACGGUCGAAAUCGUAGCCUUACUUUAAUCCCAUGAAAGAAAGGGAGUGAAAUUUCGGGUGUUCUGGUUUUUUUGAUCUUGGAGAAGCAAACCGUGAUGAGGUAGUUGUGGACGAGCUGUUCUUUUGUUCAAAAAUCGACUAUCGUCAUUGUUCUUUCCGGGUACCAAACACAGCUACAGUUUGAGUAUGUAACCGGGCUUUGCUGAUCUAUCCACACUAUCUAUCUCUCACACACACAUAAUUUGGAUGGGUCCACUGGGUAAUUGUAGAUUGAUACAAUUUGUGAAAGCUUUGUUUGUUCUUUUUCGUUUUUGAAUGAUUUUACUUCUAUUGCUUAUUUUUUGACAAAUCUAAAAUCUGAUUUUAUUCAAGCCAACUAUUGGUGUCUUCCUGAGGAUUCUGUGCGAUCAUACAGAGUUUUCAUUCCUUGUUUUGGUAUAUGGUUAUGGAGAAAUUAACAAUACGGGCAAGGGAAAUCUUAAUUAUGCUUUUG
Tripterygium wilfordii is the source of this 1635-nucleotide long non-coding RNA. RefSeq lists it as uncharacterized. The record is from RefSeq and is a predicted model, not a curated record. Lineage: Eukaryota; Viridiplantae; Streptophyta; Magnoliopsida; Celastrales; Celastraceae. The transcript has 3 exons.